GACGAACGCUGGCGGCGUGCUUAACACAUGCAAGUCGAACGGAAAGGCCCUGCUUUUGUGGGGUGCUCGAGUGGCGAACGGGUGAGUAACACGUGAGUAACCUGCCCUUGACUUUGGGAUAACUUCAGGAAACUGGGGCUAAUACCGGAUAGGAGCUCCUGCUGCAUGGUGGGGGUUGGAAAGUUUCGGCGGUUGGGGAUGGACUCGCGGCUUAUCAGCUUGUUGGUGGGGUAGUGGCUUACCAAGGCUUUGACGGGUAGCCGGCCUGAGAGGGUGACCGGGCACCAUGGGGGUGAGGUACGGCCCAGAAGACUACGGGGGGCAGCAGGGGGGAAGAAUGCAGAACGGGGGGAAGGCUGGUGAAGCAACGCCGCGGGGGGGGUGAUGGCGGUCGGGGUGUUAAACCCUUUUGCCCGGGGAGAAGAGGGGGGGGAGGGAAUGGGGGAAAAAGAAACGGCUAAAUACGUG
Molecule: ribosomal RNA, 468 nt
Filed under: uncultured bacterium
Lineage: Bacteria
Description: partial 16S ribosomal RNA
Rfam family: Bacterial small subunit ribosomal RNA
Source: RNAcentral